ACCUGCGGAAGGAUCAUAGUAAUCGUCU
Molecule: ribosomal RNA, 28 nt
Filed under: Tulasnella calospora
Lineage: Eukaryota; Fungi; Basidiomycota; Agaricomycetes; Cantharellales; Tulasnellaceae
Also listed under: 1 other name
Description: partial 18S ribosomal RNA
Source: RNAcentral